This 110-nucleotide ribosomal RNA is filed under the name Gracilibacillus oryzae. Its description in RNAcentral is "Gracilibacillus sp. TD8 partial 23S ribosomal RNA". It matches the Rfam family "Bacterial large subunit ribosomal RNA", at positions 2819 to 2925 of the family's 2925-position model. Lineage: Bacteria; Bacillati; Bacillota; Bacilli; Caryophanales; Bacillaceae. The record is from RNAcentral.
AUGUAAAUGAGUAAGAUCCCUCAGAGACGAUGAGGUAGAUAGGUUCGAGGUGGAAGCAUGGUGACAUGUGCAGCUGACGAAUACUAAUCGAUCGAGGACUUAACUAAAUU